Molecule: long non-coding RNA, 3734 nt
Organism: Homo sapiens (human)
Lineage: Eukaryota; Metazoa; Chordata; Mammalia; Primates; Hominidae
Exons: 2
Source: RefSeq, a predicted model, not a curated record
CCCAGAAUGCUGGGAUUACAGGUGUGAGCCACCACGCAUGGCCUUAAAAGUUUUAAGUACAUAUAUUUCUAUUUAAGACAGAAAGAAGGUAGUUGAGGUGGUAUAUUGGCCACUCUGCAUUUUUCUGGGCACUGGAGAUAAAAUUGUGACUAAGAAAACUAAUUUAGGUAGAGAAGACAUACAGUAAGUGGAGAAAUAUGAACAAAAGGACUGUUGAUGGUGAAAGGUGUUUCAAAGAAAAUAAUCAGGGUCCCGUAAUAGCAGGUGAAGGGAAGGAGGCUAUUUUAGACGAGAUGGUCAAGAAGGACCUCGGGCAGGAGGUGACUUAGAUCAGGGUUGAAUGACAAGGAGAGGCCAUGUGAAGAACUGAGGGCACAGAGUUCCCAGGCAAAAGGAAGACCCAAAUGGCAUGAAUUUGCUGAGUUCUAAGAAAAGAAAGUUAAUGAAAUUUGAACUUCAUAAGGUGAAUGAGUUCUAGGAAGGAUUUAAAAGGGGCCUUGCCAUAUAGGGCCAUAGUGAGGAGUAUGGUCUUUCUUGGAAGGAAGCCACUGGGCUUUUGAGUUGGGGUGAGAUGCACUCUGUGUAAACAGUGGAUCUUUGAGGGGCAAGAGUGAAGCAGAGAGGCCCCUUAAGAGGACAUAGAGUUGGAGUUUGAGACAGAAAAAAAUGAAUGGGAGGAUCCAGCUUUCUGGCUUGAGCGAGUGAAGGAAGAUGAUGCUGUUUCAGAGAUAAGGAACACUGGAAAGCUGCAGGUUUGAAGAACCUAAGUUUCUUUUCAGAUGUGUUGGGUUGGAGGUAUCUGAUCCAUGCAGGGGCUGUCUGCUACGUGGUGGAACCAGAGAAAACAAGGCUGACUGAAGCUGUGGAGGCGGAUGUGAGAAUGUGUAGUAGGUGGGGCAGAGCAAGAGGAGGGUCUGGGGCCAGGCUCUGAGGAGCCGCACCAUUGAGAGCCAGCUGGGCUGUUCCAUCUGAUGGUGACACCCCGUCUGCCGCUUCACCUUGUUCUGGACACUUUCAUUUCAUAAUGACAGCUCAAAGUCCCAGAAAAAUGGCUCUGUAGCAUAUAGGAACAACCUGAAGCCGGAUCCAGUAUUCUCCACAUCCACUUUCAGUGGAAAGGCUUGAUGUUGAUGAAGUGGGGAAAUUCAGUAUGGCGUAGGUAUAAGGUGAUGUUGACAAUGAUCAUUUUAUUGGGUAUGAUAAUAGCAGUGGUUUACGUAGUGUUUAGAAAUGCUGUGGGACAGACAAAAUCUUUGUCUCCCCUCCCCUCCACCUAAGCAGCGAGUAUUAGUAGUACACGGUUCUUGGGAUGAUGACAGCGGUUGGCUGGCAUCCAGAGUAAGAUAGAGGCAAACAUGCCCUUUAGAUGUUAGACAGCAGACAGUUAAGAUGGUGGGGGAGAAGGUGAGCAGAGAGAGAAGGUCAUCGGGUUUGAGGAGAAUAGAAGAUUUUCAAAUAGGUGAUUCAUAGAUAGGGAAGACUUUGGGUUUCUGGCUUGAGAGGUGGAUGCCUGAUAAAAUGCCGAGCUGGCCUUCCUCAAGUCCUGGGUGGUGACAGUGCCUUGUAACUGAACAGCAGCUGCCCGUUAGGAGCUCUUGGGCCUGCUUCAGUGCCCACCGCUCCAUGUCACCUUGUUGGGUCCCGGAGGAAAACAGGCCUGCCACUGACCAUGGGUCUUGGGGGUGGUUGGGAAUGUGUGGCUGAGGAAAUGGGGAGAAGGCCACCAAGAUGAGGAGGUCCAAGAGCUGCAAGGCCAGGGAUUGUCCAGGUGGGUGCCCAUGAGAGCGCUGGGGUCAGCCGAGUUUAGGGAAAAGGUAGAUGCACAGAAGGAGCCAGCUCCAGCACCGCCCAAUGCUGAGGGUGCCGGCCCUGGUCCCUGCACAUCCGCGUCCAGGCAGGUGGGCGGGAUAAAGCCACAGGGCACAGCCUCAGCCACAGAGCAGCAAAGUGACGAUCACACAGUCGUCCUGAGAGCCAGAGGAUGUCAUGACAGGUAGAAAGUAAAGGCCAUAAAGAAUGACAGGCUAGAGGCAAAGAGGAUUCUAGCAUUUUUGACCUCAGUCAUGAGAAGAGUGAUGAUACUGCUGAGGUGGAGGAAUUGAGAAGGUGACCCAGUCCUGGCAGGAAGACUGCGGCCACGCAGUGGACCUGUCCUGUCAGCAGUGGGAUAUGCGAGAUAUGGGCCGUAAAGAUCUCUCUCAUAGGGUUGGUGUGAGAAAUCAUGGAUUAAGCCUCUGGCACUUCGAGAAAUGGCUACUUUCUCACUUUCUUUAGGUGAGAAAUUAUGGACAGAAGUCAUCCAUUUGAAAUAGGAAAUUUUCUUUGCUUUUCAUUUAUCUGUGGUGUCAAAAAGUGUUGGUCAGUUACUGCUGGUUAGUUACUACUUAUUUCUAAUAUAUAUGUUUUGGUUGUUUUUUGAGACAGAGUCUCACUCUGUUGCCCAGGCUGGAGUGCAGUGGUGGGAUUUCUGCUCACUGCAAACUGCACCUCCCUGGUUUAGGCGAUUCUCUUGCCUCAGCCUCCUGAGUAGCUGGGAUUACAGGUGCCCAUUACCACGCCCGGCUAAUGUUUGUUCAUUUUUAUUAGAGACGGGUUUUUGCCAUGUUGGCCAGGCUGGUCUCGAACUCCUGACUUCAGGUGAUCUGCCUACCUCGGCCUCCCAAAGUGCUGGGAUUAUAGGUGUGAGCCACCGUGCCUGGCCUUAUUAUGUUUUUCAAAUACAAUGGAUGUUGGUUUAAAUAUAAAGUUCCUUAAGUUUGUAUUUGGAUAUAGAGACAAAAUAAUUUACUUUGAAAUGGAAAGAAUUGACUGCAGUAGGGAGUUUGGGCACAUCUCUGCACUGGAAAUUGUCCUUAGGAGACAAAUUUGAUAUACUCAGCUGUGUGCUCUAGCGGUGGAAAACUGAGAAGGCUCCAUCCAUUUCUAGUGAGUGAAUGGAUUUGAUCACUAGUGAGAAGAAUUGCGGAGAUUUUCUGAGAGACUUUCAGCAAUGCAAGAGAACAUAAGGACGUUUUACUUCUAGAUGUGAAGAAAAUGACUGAAACUUUAGAAAUAUGAGACAGAUUUAGUUGAACAUUAGAUUGUUGGGGGGAGUGUAACUUACCAUCAAAAUCCUGUUUAAAUUGCAAAUUUAUAGUGGUUAGAAGCCAUGUGAUGUGUAUCAUACUGCUUUCUAUAUAUGGCAUUCAGUAACUCAGUAUUAAUGUAAAUGAGGAUUAUGACAGUUGUGAUGGAAAAAUUUAAACUUGACAUUCAUUCAGAAUUGUUUGUAGUAUAGCACAAUUACGUAAUUGAGCAAUUAAGAUUCUUUUUCUUACGUUCUCCAGGACUAACAUGUUUCCAGCCAGAGGCAGAUCAGAUGGUUGAAAAAGUGAUCGGAUGAAUGUGGUAGGGGUUUUGGGAGGCAUCUCGAUGGCUGGCCUUGCAGAUUUCUCCUCUCCAUCCAGGCCUGCACCUCUCGCUUCCUCAAGUGGAGAAGGUUCCAGGCCAACGGCCAUCUUCAUUCCUAGCCGGGACUCUUGUCCUGAAUCUCCAUCUGUUCUUCUCCCUUAAUGGGGUGGGUCAGCAGUGGAUGAAGACCCAUCUUAACUCAAGCCCGUAGUAGAAACAGCUGUUAAGUUGCCUCCUGUCAGCAGUGGAUGGGCUGGGUCAGCAGUGGAUGAGGACCCAUCUUAACUCAAGCCCGUAGUAGAAACAGCUUGCCCUAUAGGAUAUUAAAAAAAUAACUUACUCUG